This 25-nucleotide transfer RNA is filed under the name Cordulia shurtleffii. RNAcentral's name for it is "partial tRNA-Gly". Lineage: Eukaryota; Metazoa; Arthropoda; Insecta; Odonata; Corduliidae. The record is from RNAcentral.
AAAAAGUCUGGAAAAUUCAGAACAA